RNAcentral lists this ribosomal RNA (351 nucleotides) under Holothuria atra. Its description in RNAcentral is "partial 12S ribosomal RNA". It matches the Rfam family "Microsporidia small subunit ribosomal RNA", at positions 752 to 1207 of the family's 1311-position model. The record is from RNAcentral. Lineage: Eukaryota; Metazoa; Echinodermata; Holothuroidea; Aspidochirotida; Holothuriidae.
CCAGAGAGUACGGUUACAACUAAAACUUAAAGAACUUGGCGGUUUUCUAGACCUCCUUGGAGGAGCUUGUCAUCAAAUUGAUAAUCCACAAGACACCUCACCUAUUCAGGAACAACCAGCCUGUAUACCAUCGUCGUCAGCUCACCUUAGAAAAGAGUGAGCUAAAUGAGACAACUCCUAACGUCAGAUCAAGGUGCAGCCAAUGAAUAGGGGAUUGAUGAGCUACUUUUCUUAGGGAACAGAGGAAGUAAAAAUGAAAAAACUACCGAAAAAGGAUUCAACAGUAACAGUAAUAAAUAAAGAUUCCGUGAAGCAAGCUCUAGAAUGCGCACACACCGCCCGUCACCCUCA